Molecule: ribosomal RNA, 497 nt
Filed under: uncultured bacterium
Lineage: Bacteria
Description: partial 16S ribosomal RNA
Rfam family: Bacterial small subunit ribosomal RNA
Source: RNAcentral
GAUGAACGCUGGCGGCGUGCCUAAUACAUGCAAGUCGAGCGAACAGACGAGGAGCUUGCUCCUCUGACGUUAGCGGCGGACGGGUGAGUAACACGUGGAUAACCUACCUAUAAGACUGGGAUAACUUUGGGAAACCGGAGCUAAUACCGGAUAAUAUAUUGAACCGCAUGGUUCAAUAGUGAAAGACGGUUUUGCUGUCUCUUAUAGAUGGAUCCGCGCCGCAUUAGCUAGUUGGUAAGGUAACGGCUUACCAAGGCAACGAUGCGUAGCCGACCUGAGAGGGUGAUCGGCCACACGGGAAGUGAGACACGGUCCAGACUCCGACGGGAGGCAGCAGUAGGGAAUCUUCCGCAAUGGGCGAAAGCAUGACGGAGCAACGCCGCGUGAGUGAUGAAGGUCUUCGGAUCGUAAAACUCUGUUAUUAGGGAAGAACAAAUGUGUAAGUAACUAUGCACGUAUUGACGGUACCUAAUCAGAAAGCCACGGCUAACUACGUG